This 597-nucleotide small RNA is filed under the name Pan troglodytes (chimpanzee). RNAcentral describes it as "processed transcript". Lineage: Eukaryota; Metazoa; Chordata; Mammalia; Primates; Hominidae. The record is from RNAcentral.
GCCUCAACCUCCUGGGCUCAAGCCAUCCUUCCAGCUCAUGCGGAUGAUUUAUUCCCAUUUUUCUUGAGACAUGCCAAACAAAUAUUUCCUGUGUUGGACUGUACGGAUGAUCUACGUAAAAUCAGUGACUUAAGAAUACCACCUAACUGGUACCCAGAUGCUAGAGCCAUGCAGCGGAAGAUAAUAUUUCAUUCAGGCCCCACAAACAGUGGAAAGACUUAUCACGCAAUCCAGAAAUACUUCUCAGCAAAGUCUGGAGUGUAUUGUGGCCCUCUAAAAUUACUGGCACAUGAGAUCUUCGAAAAGAGUAAUGCUGCUGGUGUGCCAUGUGACUUGGUGACAGGUGAAGAGCGUGUGACAGUUCAGCCAAAUGGGAAACAGGCUUCACAUGUUUCUUGUACAGUUGAGAUGUGCAGUGUUACAACUCCUUAUGAAGUGGCUGUAAUUGAUGAAAUUCAAAUGAUUAGAGAUCCAGCCAGAGGAUGGGCCUGGACCAGAGCACUUCUAGGACUGUGUGCCGAAGAGGUUCAUUUGUGUGGAGAACCUGCUGCUAUUGACCUGGUGACGGAGCUUAUGUACACAACGGGGGAGGAAGUG